Peromyscus leucopus (white-footed mouse) is the source of this 2638-nucleotide long non-coding RNA. RefSeq lists it as uncharacterized. Lineage: Eukaryota; Metazoa; Chordata; Mammalia; Rodentia; Cricetidae. The transcript is spliced from 3 exons. The record is from RefSeq and is a predicted model, not a curated record.
CAUUGGUCCCAAUGCUGCCCCAACCCUCAGCUGCCAACAAGGCCAUGCCCUGUCUGCUAGCAGCCUGCCCAGUGGAAGCUGGAAUGCCGCCAUGUGGGUUUGUCCUCCAUGCCACACCAUGGAGGUCCAGCCCUGCCAGCACAGGCAUCUGAGACUCUUCCAGCCUUUGAGCUCCGCAGCCUGGCAGAGAACUGAUGGUAUCCAGACUUGGAGACUCCCAUCACCCUCGCCAGGCCUAGGGUAAUGCUCCAGGUAGUGGCUUUCGGUUUCCUAGGUGGCUGGAGCAGUUCCUUGUUGAAAAGGCAGAAGGCAGCAGAGUCCCGCCGCUGUCUUAACAGGCCAUGCUGAAAUGCCCGAGUAACCAGCUCUGGUGUGCCUUCCUUUCGUUCUUUCUCUUUUCCUUAUAAUUUUUAUUGUAAACAAACCACAAGUGUGGGGAUUGAAAUAAGGAGUGCCUAGUGACCGAGACACGGCGCUUAUUCCCAUGGAUGCUAGUGGGUGGCCUGGCAGAGAUCUGAGCAGAGCUGGAGGCAGUUGUGUCCCCAGUCACCUGAUGACCCUGAUAAAUCCGCACUGCGAGCCCCUAGCAGGGGAAUUUUCCUGGUGUAAAAAAACAUUGAGUAUGAGUCUUUUCUCUCAGACACUAUAAAACUUGUGUUUGCAACAAAGAAUUCAAAGCUUUUUGCCUCCUCCACUUUGUAUGCAAAUAUUUUAACACCCUCCACCCAGGAAAGUGUUUAUGCAAAGGCCCUGCUACAUUUGGGAGCAUAGGUAAAUUAAGCGGCUGACCCCAUUCUGUUUUCCUUUCUUCCCUUCACCCAGGUGUUUUUGACACCGGCUCAUCUUUAAACUGUGAUGUGAGACCCCAGCCAAUGGGGGAAGACACGGUCUCCACCCGAGUUAGAUGCAAAACCAACUUGCUUCCUGCCCGGGUGUGUUUAGUCCCUGAGAAUACCCUCUUGACCAGGAGUAACUAACGGUUGCCUUGUCCAGACACUAAAAUGAAGCUCCCUAGACCAUUGACCAGACUGUGCCAGGAAUCCUGCCAUCGCCUACCUCCAAACCCUCCCACCAGUACCAGCCAUGAGAUUUGAUUUGGAUAAAGAGGAUCCCUGCCUGUACCCUGGAACCUGUCUGGAAGGGACCCCACCCACUUAUUCUCACCACCCCGACGGCUGUGAAAUGGUUGUUGUCGUCCCCUGGAUUCAUCAUCCCCAAUUUGAAAAAAAAAAAAAGCCACUGAAGACAAUGAGAGAUGGACCGUCAAACUUGGACACAUUAAAGAUAAGACUGACCAGAGUUCACUAACCUGGGCUACACAAAUCCUCAUCCACCACAAAUCUGGACAUGGGCACUCAGAAAAGCUGGGUAUGGGAAACUUUCAGGUGGAACUCUGCUCUCUUAUGUCCCUUUCCAGGGGGAAAUGGUGAGGCUCUGGGGAAGGGAUAGGGGUUACCAAAUCACAUUGUGGAGAAGACUGGCUAGAAAAAGACCUCCAGGGACUACAAUUUUAUGUAUGCCCUGAUGAGGGUGAAUCAUCCUGCCAAGGACAAGGUAUCUACAUCAUGUCCUCAAAUUACAGUCUUGCUUCCUCACCUUAUAAGGUUUGCUCAAAUGCCCAAGGAAUCAACACGAGCCUAGAGAAUUACAGAUUCUUUCAUGGCCCUGAAUCUACCUUGUUUGCUUGUACUAACGAUUUGACUAAAUGUGCCUCCUCUGACUCACUGGAGAGUCAUAGCCCCAUUCUGUGUAUACCGGUCUAUGUUAUCCCCCAGAUAUAUGCCAGUAAUGGAGAAGAGGGAAGAGCUCAUGCUGGCCUUGACUCAAUGUUCAUGAGGGUCAAAGAGGUCCCAGUUCUGGUCCCAAUCCUAGUAGGGGCAGGAAUAGCUGGUGCAAGUGUCAUAGGCACCUCAGCCUUGAUUGUUGGGAAUCAACACAUUAGGGAACUCAGUUCUCAGACAGAGACAUAGGCCAUUUGGAGAAGUCCAUUUCCAGGCUGGAGAGCCAAGUUGAAUGGACUCCCUUACAGACACAGUCUUACAGAACUGGAGCUGGACCCCAUUUUAUGAAAUGAGGACUUUGCAUGGCCUUAGGAGAAACCCAUUGUUUUUGUGCCAAUCAGGGGUGAUCAGGGAAGACCUUCCCAUGGUCAGAGAAAACCUCAAAAAAGGGAAGGAAGGAGACAAAGAUCAGAUAGUUGGUAUCCGAAUCUGUUUACCUGGUCCCCAUGACUGACCACAUAACUGUCAACAUUAGUUGCAUAGUUGAUUCUUUUUUUCCUGAUCCAGCUUACAGUAGGACCCUGCAUCCUCAACUGCAUGGAUAACUACAUCAAAUAGAGAAUAAAUUCAGUUAAGCUAUGUGUCCUUAGGACCAACUAUGCUCUUCCCCCAGAAGAGGAUGAGUCAAUGAUUUGACUCAUGCCCAUAAAACCAGUGGGGAAUGUGACAGGGCGAUCAGUACCGGGGUUCCUCCCUCUCAUAUUCUUGCUGAGGCCGUUUCAGGUUUAACUAGAAUUUGAUCUCCUUGAUGGGAAGCCCCAUGGAAAGUUACCCAACUCUGUUCUAGGAACCCAAAGUCAAGAUGUCCCAGCUAGCUUGUCUUAGUUUCUGUUAAACUGUCUGCUUGUGAAAACCUC